RNAcentral lists this ribosomal RNA (465 nucleotides) under Vreelandella stevensii. RNAcentral's name for it is "partial 16S ribosomal RNA". It matches the Rfam family "Bacterial small subunit ribosomal RNA", at positions 338 to 795 of the family's 1533-position model. Lineage: Bacteria; Pseudomonadati; Pseudomonadota; Gammaproteobacteria; Oceanospirillales; Halomonadaceae. The record is from RNAcentral.
CCUACGGGGGGCUGCAGUGGGGAAUAUUGGACAAUGGGGGGAACCCUGAUCCAGCCAUGCCGCGUGUGUGAAGAAGGCCCUCGGGUUGUAAAGCACUUUCAGUGAGGAAGAACGCCUGGUGGUUAAUACCCAUCAGGAAAGACAUCACUCACAGAAGAAGCACCGGCUAACUCCGUGCCAGCAGCCGCGGUAAUACGGAGGGUGCGAGCGUUAAUCGGAAUUACUGGGCGUAAAGCGCGCGUAGGUGGCUUGAUAAGCCGGUUGUGAAAGCCCCGGGCUCAACCUGGGAACGGCAUCCGGAACUGUCAAGCUAGAGUGCAGGAGAGGAAGGUAGAAUUCCCGGUAUAGCGGUGAAAUGCGUAGAGAUCGGGAGGAAUACCAGUGGCGAAGGCGGCCUUCUGGACUGACACUGACACUGAGGUGCGAAAGCGUGGGUAGCAAACAGGAUUAGAUACCCUAGUAGUC